GGGUGUGACUGGUUUUACUUUUCUUAUAACUUAUUCAUUCACAUAAGCAUGAUGUGACAACAUUAACGUAUAGUUUAAAAUUAGGCUAAUGCUUGUGCAAAGGUAUAACAAGUUUUGACUUGAACAAUGUUACAAUUGGAUUCUUUUUAGACAUGAGUAAUUAACGCUCCAUCUCUUCCCUCACAAAGCAAAACCAGCAAAAGAAGUUGAAUGUCCGUCCUUUCUACAAGCUAUAUAUUGGGAGACUGAAUCGAAUAAAGAAUCUCGAGUGCAUGAAUAUAGUAGGGAGGUGGAGUCCAUGAUAAUAUUUUAUUUUAAGAAAUUUAAAACUAAGAUAGAUUAUUAUCAGUCGUGAAAAAAAGACUAACUGUAUUGUCGAUUUUAUAUCGAUAAGGCGUCAAUAUCAUUGUCGAUGACAUGUCAAUAACAAAACUUAUCAAGAUAUUAUCAAUACAUUAUCACCAGUAUCAAUUCAUUUUUAACAAAGGACGAACAUCUUGCACAAAGAAUUUUUGAACCAAACUAAGAAGACUACAUCUUUUUUUGGUCGAAAUCAUAUCUCAUUUCAUUAAAAUGCCAAAUAGGCAAGUGUACAAAGCACAAACCAAUGGCACAAUAGAAUUGUAACACAACCGGAAAAGAACAUAUAAACUCAAAUCAAGUCUAGAACAAAGUUCGUACACCCAGCAUAAUAACCAAAAAAAAAAAAAAAACUCAAAAUAAAACAACACACAUAGUCUAGUGGCCCACCCCAAAUACAAUCAGGGCUCGUUUGGUACGUCGGACUGUACUGACUAAUUUUUGUCGGAUAGUAUUAAUUUGUUCCGGAGAGUACUGACUAUUUAUCCAUAAUAUUAUAAGGCGUUUGGUGCUGUUCCGGAUAAAUAGUCAGACUAAGUUAUACUGUGUUUGGUGAUGUUCCGGAUAACAUCAGAUCAGACUAUUUUUAAAAUAAAAAAAAAUUUCUUUGAUAAUUUUAAUGGAAAUUGAGAUUCAAAUGACACGAAUUUUUUUUGGUAAGAUUCAUAUGACAAGAUUUGUUUUUC
This 1046-nucleotide long non-coding RNA is filed under the name Prunus persica (peach). RNAcentral's name for it is "long non-coding RNA (PPER_LNC003752)". Lineage: Eukaryota; Viridiplantae; Streptophyta; Magnoliopsida; Rosales; Rosaceae. The record is from RNAcentral.